AACUUUGGCCAAUGGGGGCAACCCUGAUCCAUCCAUCCCGCGUGUUCUAUGAAGGCCUUCGGCAUGUUAAGUACUUUUGGCUGGGAAUAAAAGGCCCUUGCUAAUACCUGCAGCUGCUGACGGUACCUUCAGCAUAAUCACCCGCUAACUCCGUGCCAGCAGCCGCGGUAAUACGUAGGGUGCAAGCGUUAAUCGGAAUUACUGGGCGUAAAGCGUGCGCAGGCGGUUCGGCAAGAAGGAUGUGAAAUCCCAGGGCUUAACCUUGGAACUGCAUUCUUAACUGCCGGGCUAGAGUAUGUCAGAGGGGGGUAGAAUUCCGCGUGUAGCAGUGAAACGCGUAGAGAUGCGGAGGAAUACCGAUGGCGAAGGCAGCCCCCUGGGAUAAUACUGACGCUCAUGCACGAAAGCGUGGGGAGCAAAC
RNAcentral lists this ribosomal RNA (421 nucleotides) under uncultured bacterium. Its description in RNAcentral is "partial 16S ribosomal RNA". It matches the Rfam family "Bacterial small subunit ribosomal RNA", at positions 360 to 773 of the family's 1533-position model. The record is from RNAcentral.